This 64-nucleotide microRNA precursor is filed under the name Eisenia fetida (common brandling worm). RNAcentral describes it as "Efe-Mir-7-P12_pre stem-loop". The record is from RNAcentral. Lineage: Eukaryota; Metazoa; Annelida; Clitellata; Crassiclitellata; Lumbricidae.
UGGAAGACUUGUGAUUUUGUUGCUGUAUCUUUGCAUCCCAGCAACGAGUCCACGUCUUCAAAGA